GGACAAGGGUGUGUCUUUGAUGAGUUUGAAACAGCCAAGAGAGCAAGCGCACACAUUUUUUUCAAGAAAUGUACCUUUCUAUUUGGAAAUGUGCGUAAGGAAAGCGAGAGUACUGUACUUGUGUUCUGGCCACUUUGUAGCCUACAGUACCUGACCUUCCGAAGGACUUCAAGUUGUUGAUCAACUAAAAUGACUUGUGGUUGUCAUCGUGAAGAAUACCGGAUCGUUGAAAAACAUUGAUAUUCCUGUAGCCUACUUUGUUACCCCUCUAAACGUAUACGCAGGCCUAUGUGGAUGUGAGAUAUCUGACGCACAUUUAAAACAUCGAGCGCACAGGUUACCUAAUGGAGAUGGAUUUCCAAAGGCUGCUGUUGCAGGUGGAACAAGCCCUGAACAGAGAAGAAGUACAAGCACUUGCAUUUCUUUGCAAAGAUCUGCUUGAGAAAGACUGUAGCUCAGUGCCCACAGCAAGUCAACUCUUCUCUCUUCUGAUGGACCAAGAACUGUUAACCCCCGAUCAGCCUUACUUGCUUGCCGAUUUAUUAUGUACCAUCCAGCGCCACAGUUUGAUGCGAGAGCUUGGCCUCAACAACCAGCUUCCAACAACCAGUAGCCUCAUCUCUCCUUAUAGAAAACUGCUGUAUGACCUAUCAGAGAACACCACUGAAGACGAGUUGAGAGAGAUUAAGUUCCUAUUGGUUAACAUACUCCCUCGUAGGAAACUGGAGGGCAACGUGACUACCUUGCAAGUAUUCCUGGAAAUGGAGAAAAUUGAUAUUUUGAGCGUCAUAAAACUAAACAUUGUUGAAAGUAUGUUUGGAAGUGUCUGCCCCAUGUUGAAAACAAGAAUCAACCAGUUUAAAACAAAGCAGGGGCCAGUAACCCAAAAAACAGGGGUGGGAUUGUUAAGACCAAGGUCUUCUUCUGCAUGUCUUCCAGAAAACCAGGCUGUCUCCAUGCUUCCAAUGAGACCUGUGUCAUGUGGACUAUCAGUCGAACAACGUGGACAUUCUGACACAAUGUUCUUUCCCUCUUCGUACUUCUCUUCAGCUUCACAGCCUUCAACUGAGGUGUCCACUCUGAAUCCAGCUGACACCUCUCUGGAUGUUCGGAGGGUCUCAGAUACAGCGGAUGCAGUACUUUCACAUAGGCUGGGUCUCCUAAGUACCAGUGGGGACAACGAAGCUGCUCUCAGCCAAGGGAAUCACCAUGUUUCAUCCAUACCCUCACGUGGACACAAUAAGAACUUUGACCCUGCAAAUCGUCAGAGAGGAAACACCACAAAAGAGGAAGUGGGAGAAUAUGCUAUGACAGGAAGAAAGAGAGGUUACUGUCUGAUAAUUAACAACUACAACUUCAGAAAUUCUCCAAAACCCCUAAACAAUAGAGAGGGAACACAGGUUGAUGAAAGCAGUUUGGUGAGUGUGUUUGAGUGGCUGGGCUUUGAGACGGAGAUUGAGCCAGACUGCAGCCGGGAGCAGUUACUGUCUCGAGUUGAGGAGCUCCGCAGCCGUGACCACAGCCAGAUGGACUGCCUGGUGUGCUGCGUUCUGAGCCACGGGCUGGAGGGAGGUGUUUAUGGGGUGGACGGGCUGAAGGUCAGAGUCAGGGAGCUCACAGAGCCCUUCUCUGGACUGGAGUGCAGCUCACUGAGGGGAAAGCCCAAGCUGUUCUUUAUCCAGGCCUGUCAGGGCAUCAAGGAACAACAGCCAGUGUUCCUUCAGUCCGAUUGCCCAGGUGCUGAUGGCUCUACUAUCACCAGCUCUAUCUGCACUGAUGCAGUGGUACCCAGAGACUCCAUUCCCUCUGAUGCCGACUUCCUUCUGGGCAUGGCCACUGUCCCUCACUUUGCCUCUUUCAGAGACAUAAGUAAGGGCACUUGGUUCAUCCAGUCAUUGUGCCAGAACCUCAUCAACAUGGUUCCCAGGUUAGUGCCAGAAGCUCAUCAACAUGGUUCCCAGGUUAGUGCCAGAACCUCAUCAACAUGGUUUCCAGGUUAGUUCCAGAACCUCAUCAACAUGGUUCCCAGGUUAGUUCCAGAACCUCAUCAACUUGGUUCCCAGGUUGGUUCCAGAACCUCAUCAACAUGGUUCCCAGGUUAGUUCCAGAACCUCAUCAACUUGGUUUCCAGGUUAGUGCCAGAACCUCAUCAACAUGGCUCCCAGGUUAGUUCCAGAACCUCAUCAACUUGGUUUCCAGGUUAGUUCCAGAACCUCAUCAACUUGGUUUCCAGGUUAGUGCCAGAACCUCAUCAACAUGGCUCCCAGGUUAGUGCUCAGAUGUGCUUGGUUUCUUUAUAUUGUGUCAUUCUGAAAUCCUCUUUGAAAACAUCAGUAAACACUGGACUGUGACAUGCAGAUGUCAGCGUAUGGUUGGUAAAUCAUUAUCAGAUUGAAUUUCCUCUCAUUGUUCUUUCUCCGUCCAGUGGGUAUGACUUGCUGUCCAUCCUGACCAAGGUAAACAAUGAUGUCAGCAGUAAGAGUGAUAACCAUGGUACCAGGAAGCAGAUGCCCCAGCCUGCAUACUCACUCAGGAAGAGGCUGGUCUUUCCCAUCCCAAAAGA
RNA transcript from Oncorhynchus tshawytscha (Chinook salmon), 2563 nucleotides. It is a transcript of the gene named caspase 10, apoptosis-related cysteine peptidase, with no coding region annotated. Lineage: Eukaryota; Metazoa; Chordata; Actinopteri; Salmoniformes; Salmonidae. The transcript is spliced from 13 exons. The record is from RefSeq and is a predicted model, not a curated record.